This is a long non-coding RNA of Drosophila pseudoobscura, 1147 nucleotides long. RefSeq lists it as uncharacterized. Lineage: Eukaryota; Metazoa; Arthropoda; Insecta; Diptera; Drosophilidae. The record is from RefSeq and is a predicted model, not a curated record. The transcript has 2 exons.
AUGGACGUAGACUGUGUCCUCCUGGAAAACAGAUAUCCGUACAUAAAGGCCGCAUCGAUCGAAGUACUGCGACAGGAUCUGUGAAAGGUUGAUCGGGAGAAAACGCAGCUACUGUGCCAGUAAAUACUGCAGUCGGUGCAUCGCCUCUUCGAUGCCUGUGCCACGUGUUGCUGAUUUGACGGCCAACUCAUCAGCGCUUCCACUAGUUUAACAGGGAAUCGUUCCGAUUUCGGCUGUAUUGAGCUCAAAGAUCCAUGAUCAGGCUUGCCUAUUGCCGGGUAGAUUGUGCUUUAUAAUUUUGGUUUAUUUAAACAAUAAAUUUAAUAUUCGAUGGGGUUCUCAACGACUUUUUAUUUGCUGGCCUACACACACACAUACAUAUUUAUGUACAUACAUAUGUUGUAAAUACUUAGUAAAGAAUUGAGCUCCCGUUGAAAUUGGGAUUUGUGUAGAUUGGAAUUUACAAAAUCUAACUGCUGACCGGUGCGCCUCAAUACACAUUCGACAGGGCGAAAUAUUAUCAACUUGAAAAGUUUAUCAAAAGGCCCAGUGCUAAAUACAAGUAUGUGGAUACUUUUGGGCUAAUUGUAUUAAUAAAUUGCUUAGUUUUCGUUUCUGUUAUUCGGGUAAUGCAUACAGGUUUUAAGUCCGGGGGAGCACCACGAGUUGGUCAGGGUCUACAUAUAUGGUCGAAUUUAAAAUUUAGUCCUAUACACAUUUUUGAAAAGGCUUGCGGUUUGGUCUGUUCGAGGUUGAACUGUUCAUUGAUUGGUUAGCUAACAUUCAUUAAAAUACAUGUGGGGGGAAAUACUUUGAAGUGCAAAAAGAUGUAUGAUAAAAUGUACCAUAUUUACAGUGCGAUUCGCAGCAAGAAAACAGUUGUGGUAUUUACAGAAUGAACAAUUAUGACAGGACAUCGUCUGAUUGUAUAAAUCGCGCUAGUGCCACCGAAUCGAUGCUGCUCGAACAUAUUUUCGAACCGAAAGGAUGGCAUCUGCAGCCCUAAAUGUGUACUCGUUUGUACAAUAAACAUAAAUUACGUAGUCUUUAUAGCCUGUUCCACAACUGUCUUCUAGCUUUGAGACGCACUGUAGCCAUGAGUUCAUGAGACAAUAACAACAGAUCUUCAAUGUUUUAACCUUACACU